CUUAGUGGCGGACGGGUGAGUAACGCGUGGGUAACCUGCCUUAUACAGGGGGAUAACAACCAGAAAUGGUUGCUAAUACCGCAUAAGCGCACAGGACCGCAUGGUCCGGUGUGAAAAACUCCGGUGGUAUAAGAUGGACCCGCGUUGGAUUAGCUAGUUGGCAGGGCAACGGCCUACCAAGGCGACGAUCCAUAGCCGGCCUGAGAGGGUGAACGGCCACAUUGGGACUGAGACACGGCCCAG
RNAcentral lists this ribosomal RNA (243 nucleotides) under uncultured bacterium. Its description in RNAcentral is "partial 16S ribosomal RNA". It matches the Rfam family "Bacterial small subunit ribosomal RNA", at positions 91 to 334 of the family's 1533-position model. The record is from RNAcentral.